GGGCCUGUGGCUCGGGGGUCAGAGCAAGCGGUUCAUAACCGUCCGGGCGCUGGUUCGAAUCCAGCUGGGCCCACCA
This 76-nucleotide transfer RNA is filed under the name Chloroflexota bacterium. Its description in RNAcentral is "Chloroflexi bacterium tRNA-Met". It matches the Rfam family "tRNA". From Rfam's summary of the family: Transfer RNA (tRNA) molecules are approximately 80 nucleotides in length. Lineage: Bacteria; Bacillati; Chloroflexota. The record is from RNAcentral.